Molecule: small nuclear RNA, 95 nt
Filed under: Cervus elaphus hippelaphus
Lineage: Eukaryota; Metazoa; Chordata; Mammalia; Artiodactyla; Cervidae
Also listed under: 1 other name
Source: RNAcentral
UUUAAAAUUAAAAGAAAUUGGAAUAAUACUAGAGAAGAUUAGCAUGGCUCCUGUGCAAGAAUGACAUACACAUUCAUGAAGGAAAUUAUGUAGUU